This 19213-nucleotide long non-coding RNA is filed under the name Capsicum annuum. RNAcentral's name for it is "long non-coding RNA (CANN_LNC011360)". Lineage: Eukaryota; Viridiplantae; Streptophyta; Magnoliopsida; Solanales; Solanaceae. The record is from RNAcentral.
UUUUUCUUUUCUUAAAUUCUCGACUUUAACGCUAAGCUUAAGGAAGAAAAAUAAAUCUACUUAAUCAUUUUUAAUUUAACAUUCUAAAUUUUUCUCUAUUUAACGUUAUCUCAUGCAUCAUAUAUUUGAUAACAAGAAAAUCUGAUAGCAUAAGAAAUUUGUUCAUUCAUUAUUUUAUUCGUGUACAUGCAUUGUACUCAAUUCAAGCGGGAAAGAAAAUGAAUGGAUCAAUUGUAUUUUGAGAAAAUGACAAAAUCACUUUUAUUUUAUGGUAGAUGUAAAAUAGUUUCUUAAAUAUGCAUUGAACCAUUUUGAUUCUUUGAAUCGUCAAAAGUUAAUAGUUUUAAAUUUCAUCAUAUAUUGAUCUAACUCUGUCUAUAAGAUUGAAACUAUAGUUUUUUUGAAAAAAAAAAAAGAAAUUGGGGGUAACUCAUAUUUAGAGGUACAAUUUUGAUAUUCAUCUCACUACUCAAAAGCUUUGAAUAUUCUAAUCGAAAUCUUGCUUCUAGUUUUAAUUUAUUUCUUGAGUUUGGUUAAACUUAUUGAUGUGUAAAUUUAUGUUGUUUGUUAUAUCUUCUUAGGGAUUGUUUGGUUGGAAAAUAAUUUAAUCCGAAAUUUAUUAUCCCUGAAUUAAUUAUUUCAAAAUUAAUUAUCCUACCUUUAAGGUGAGAUAAAAAUAACAUUACAAUUUUGAUAACUAAUUCAGAAAUAAGUUGUUCAUGCAUUUUAGCCCUACUAAAAAUAAGAUAAGUUCAUCCUAAAAAUAAAUUCUGAGAUUACUUAUCCCUUAUUUCUUAUACAAAACAAGUCCUUAAUAUUUUGUGUAAUAUUUUGUGUUGCAUACUUUAAGAUUUGAUGGACUUUUUUUUAUUUGUAUGAAUCCUUUUCCUUUCAUUACAUUGUCAAAUCUAACAAAUAUAAAUUGUUAAAUAUUUUAUGUUGAUAAAAUAUUAAUUUUUGAUAAAAAACCAAAGAAUCAAAAUUAUUCUUUGCAUAGCUACAAAGCUAUAUACUGAACCUAUCUUUAUUCUUCCUCCGUUAAUUGUUACGUUUAUUAAGAAAAAUAAUAAUUAACAUGAGUAUUUUGCAAUACAUCUUUAUUGAUGUUUAGUACUCGCUUUAUGAUAAUGUUAAUUUUUAUGAAUGAUUUGGUACUUGUUUUCUUUGCAGAAAUUUAGAAAAAAAAUAUUCAAAUAUCUCCUAGUCAAUUCUCAAGAAGGAAGAAGUAUCUUAGAAGAUUUCAAAAAGGAAGAACAAUUGAUGCAUUUAAUGAAGAGCAUAAUUCAUGGGAUUGUCGAGUCUCUCUCUAUUUUAUUUAGUUAGCUUUUUCUUUUUAGUCAUUACUUAUUCUUGAAAAUUGAAUAUUCAUUAUUCCUUUUCCUAAGAAGAAAAAUCUUUUGGGUUGCAUUCUAUACUUAUCUUCCAACAGCUAGUAGUAGUCCAAUCACUACUAUUUAAGCAAUGAAACACAAAGAAGAGAUAUUGUAACGCCCCGAAAUUGGGUUCCGAAACGUCACACGGUGCUUAGGGGCAUAAGUGACCUCAAGCUAACCCUCCUACUGGCAUAACUCAUAAUCAACUAGAUAAAAUGCUUAAAUCUAUGUAAAAUCAGCGAAAACAUAGAACUUCUGUGAACUUGAUCAAUAUAAACAUGAACUUUACAAGAUUACAACUCUACUUUUACCAAACGAAACAGAAAUUGAAUACAUCAACUUAUACUGACUGUCUAUGAAGCCUCUACUAGUAUUGACUUUAGAUAGCCGGGUCAUGACUCCCAACUAUCUAAACUCAAUACGACUAAAAUAAGAAAAUACAAUACUUCUCGAACUGUACAACCAACUCAAGCCCUCGAAUCAAAAGGACUCAUCACCUGCUCACUGGGAGAGGCGGACUGACUAAAUGUGGUAUCUGCACUAUAAUUUGUACUUACAUUAUAAGACACUAUAGCACAUAGAAAUAUAUAGGGGUCAGUACUUUAAGGAAUGUACUGAGUAUGUGGAGGUGCAAUGUAACAUUAUAAAUAAUAUCAUAAAUGAUUAUGAAAAUCAUGCAUGCUGACGAUAACGACUUUCUUUGCUUGAAUUAACUGAAAUAUAUUCCUUGAAAAUCAUCAAUAGUAAUGCAAGCAUUAUAUAUCUCAUAAAUCAUUUUACUCAACUCAAACUCUUUAAUCAUGACUUAGAGUGACUCAAUAACUCAUGAAACUAGAACUCUUAUGGACUUGGGAGGUUUUUGUAACCGACAUAAACCAUAUGAGCUACAUGGAGUCCAACAUUUUGCCUUUCUAAGGAGAGAACCCUACAUUGGCGGGAGCGUCAUACUCUUGCCAGAGAUUACAACCUAAAUUUAGUGAUCACAAUCUCAUACUCGGCCUCUGGCCUAUAAUUAUCAAUAUCAAUCCUACGGUGGUACGUAGUUUCGGGGGAAAUACCAUAUUUCUCGCUCGGUGCUAAAUACUCCUCCCAGACACAAGCUCAGAACGCGUUAGGAAAUUCACCACAAACAUCACAAGGGUCUAUCAUGAAGACCAAAUCAAAUCUCUUUCUCAUUUAUCAAAUCAUAAUCAAUUUGUGGAUUCCUAACUCGACUCAAAUCAAAUCAAUCUUUCUCAAUAUCAAAAUGUAUCAAUUCAUUAAAUCAUGACAACAUCAAUAACUUUGGCUUGACACAUGUCUUGAAAGCACUUGAAAUACCAACUCAUGGUAGAAAUAUGAAAUUCACAAUAUUAAAUAUCAAGUCAUAAUUUGGAAAUUGUAAAAUAAUCAAGUAUCAAAAACUUCAAGAAUACAUCAUAGAACUCAUUCUUGACUCUCAAGCUCAAAUAUCAAUAUAUAUAUUCAAUAAUCAAACUUCUCAUAGAAAAGCUUAAAUCAUGACUUUUAUCUCAAAUCAUUCGAAAAUCAUCAACUCAUAAUAACAAUAUUCAACUCAUGGCAUAAGUUCUCAAUUUAAAAAAUAAAAUGAUGAAAUAGUCAUGUGUAUCAAUCUUGAAUAGCUCAAAUAUCAUAAAUCAUUAAUAAAGUAAUUUGGGUGUAAACCCACUUUGCAAAAUCAUGAAUUUCAAUAGUAGAAAUUAAAUCUUUGGGCACAAGAACGAAAGAAGUGCUCUUGUUCAAAUCUCACAUACCUUGGAUUAUUAUUUUAAGAUGAGCAAGCUUGAUUGAAAACUUUUCUUCACACUUUUGAGCUAAGUUCUUGAUGCCUUUGACUUGGAGGACUUGAUUCUUGAACAACUUGGUGAAUUCUUUGGAAGAUUCUUGAAUUUUCUUGUAGAAGAUUUGAUUUAGGAAUUUGGAAGAAACCCUAGUUGUAGAUCUUUCUUGGAAGAGAAAUGAAAAAAAAUGAACUUCUCUUCUCUACUUGGAUAUAUAUAUACAUAUAGGACCAAAAUGGACAAAAAUGAUCAAAAUUCUCUUGCGAAAAUGUUCCUUAAUUGAUGGAAAAAAAAUAGUUGACGACAUCUGUGACAAGUUGUCAGGCCCGUGAUAGGCCGUCACGAAUUGUCAUCACAAAAAGGGUGAAUUUUAUUAUUUUCUGCUUAAGGUUGACGAUAUUUUGUGAUAAGCCGUCACAAAAUGCCAUCACAAAAGGUUGGAUUUUGUGACUUUCUGCCUUAAGGUGACGACAUUUUGUGACAAGCCGUCAGGCUUGUGACAAGUCGUCACAAAAGGUCAUCAUGGAGUUUCCAGGCUGACACGCUAGAGUAAAAUAAGCAUAACUCUUUGUUCCGAUAUCAAAUUUUAACGAAAUUGGUAUCGUUGGAAAGAUAAUUCAAUUAUAUAUAUUUUGGUAGGUCAUGGGAUCAAUUAUUAGUAGUAUAAUGAGAUAUAUGAUCAUUUGAAGUUGGAUAAGGAAACAUCCUUCCCAAGAAUUCAAUUGGUAAGGAAUGUUUUGAUUCACCUAAUCGCUAGGACAUCUUUGAGGCCUUAAUACACAUCACCCUUGAUUAGAAAAUAACCAAAGCACUAUAAUUUAUUUCUCAUGAGCUUGAUUCAUGGUUGCACUAUUGGUUAGAGCCUUGGGGUAUUACAAAAUGGCUCUAACUCCCUCACCGGGUGUCCGAUUCGGGUGAAUCUUAUGUCGAUGGAAAGCUUAUCCAAUUAUCCACAUGAUAGAAAGUGGAAUUUAGAGAAAUACAACACAAUAUAAACAACAAUCACUUUGGAUCCAUAUUCACUCAAAAGACGGAUUUAGGCUUCAGAAACGAUCGGGGUAUUACAGAUAUAUUUUUAUCUCAAUUUUCUCUAGUUCUUUGCUCUAGUUUAUUCAAGCAUUGUUUUCUCUUAAUGUUUAGUGUGCAUUAAUAAAGAAAGGAGAGAAACACAUAGUUGGUGAUGCAUUGUAUCAAAAGUGAGAAAGAAAGAAAAAGAGUGUGAGUCAUAGCCAAAAAACUUGACUCGGUACUUUGAUUUGAUUCACAAAGAACUAGUAGAAUUUCCUGCAAUCCAAGGGGACUAGAGUAAGACCUACUCCCUCCAUUUCAAAAUAAAUGAAUUGUUGAGUUAUUUUUCAAUGUCCAAAAUAAAUGAGUUGUUCAUUUUUCAAAAGACAUAUUGAAAAUUUCUUUCAAUUUUACCCUUUUAUUUAAUGAGGUUCUUAAGUACUUCACAUUUUCUAGGAGAGUAAUUUAUAAAUAAUUAAAGGGGUAAUAGUGGAAACUAACAUCUAAGUUAUGCCCUAAAAUAUUUUUCUUAAGGGGUGUGUCAUACCCCAACAAUUUAAUAAUUUUGAAAUGAAGGGAGUAUUAGAAGUCCCAACCAGUAUAAAUAUCUAAUGUCAUUCCUUUUCAGCAUUUUAUUUUCUGAACUUUAUAUUAUUGGUUCAAUAAUCAUCUAUCUAUCUAAGCGAGUCAACUGUCAAUUCAGAAGGAGUUAUUCUUAGUUCAAAAUAAAUAAAUUUUUGAUAUAUUUUUUAAUACAAAAAUAAAUGAAUUGUUCAUUUGUCAAGAGACAUGUUGGAAAUUUCUUUCAAUUUUAUCCUUCAUUUACACUUUUUAGGUUAUGAAUUCCAAAAAACUUAAUCAGCUUUAUUUAAUGUGGCUGAAAUAUCAAGAAUAGUUUAAUAAUAUAUAAAAAGGUAAUAUGAAAUGUAAAGGGCAAUUUAUGUCCUAAUUAUUUUCCUUAAGAAGUGUGCAUUGAGACAAAAACUCAUUUAUUUUGGACUAGAGUGAUAUUAGGUAUUAGAAAGUAAUUUGAAAAAUAAGUAAUUAAUACUAAGGAUAAAACAUGAAAAAGAAAAAUACUCCCUCCGUUCCUAAUUAAUUGUCAUCUUUUUAAGUUGCACACAUCUUAAGAAAAACAUUAACUAAAAGGUACUCAUCUUUAUUUAAUGCUUUUUUUUUUUUUUGCACUAUAUUAAUAUUUUUUCACAUUUAUUACUAAGGAUAAAAGUAAAAAUAAAUAACUAAUUGUGCAUUAAUUUUAUAAAAUGACAAGUAUUAAAGAUCACCUAUUUUUAGUAAGGACGACAACUAAUUGGAAUGAAGGGAGUAUUUUUAUAUAUAAAAGUAAUAAAUAAAAAUAAAAAUUUAUUUUUGAAAUAGUACUGCCUCUGAUUUUUUAAAUUUUUCCCUUUUAUUUUUUACAGUCAAACAAUAUAAGCUUUGAUCAAAGUUUUAAGAUGUAUUUUUUAAUCAAAUUAAAAAAAUAAAAAAUUAUAAUUUAUAUUAUUUUUAAUGUAACUUUUGGAUAUCUAAAUUUUAGUAUAAAAAAUUAAAUUAAUCUAAUCUAAUUUAGGUUUGAAAUUUAAUCAAAUUAAUCCUUAAGAAAAGAAGAAUAAUUAAAAGGGAAUGAAAAGGUAUAAAUAAGCGAACCCGCGACCAAAAUAGGCUGCCCAUUUAAAAAAAAUAUCAAAAUAUGUCAUGUAUAUAAAGUGGUACCAAAAUAGGCUUAACUCACAAAAAAAGUGAGUUAUACCUCUUUUUUAACGAUACUUUGACUGACGGCGUCAUCUUUAUAAAAAGUGUAUAAUUCACUUUUUUAGUGAAUUAUCUUUUUUAUUUAUACGUGACUCACAGAAAAUUUAUUUAUACAUAUAACUCACAUUUUUUGUGUGUUAUAUCAAUGAAAGUUACAUAACUCACUUUUAAGUGAGUUAUCCUUUUUUGUUUAUACAUAACUCACAAAAAGAGUGAGUUAUAUUUAUUUUUAUAAUUUAUGUACAUUUUUAUAAAACUUACAUAUUAUGUGAGCUUUAUAUUUUUCUUUUAUAAUUUUUAUUUUAUAAAACUCACAUAUUUAUUUUUCUUUUUUCAAAAUAUGUGAGUUAUGCACCCUCUAUUUUUAUCUUAUAAAACUAUCAUAUGCCUCUAUUUUUAUCAAAUAAAACUCACUAAUUAUGUGAUUUAUUUAAAUAUAAAAUAAGUAACUCACUUUUUAAGUGAGUUAUCCACUUUACACACGUCACGCCCUGUUCUGACAACAGUCUUUAUUAGUGAUGUGAAAUAUUAAUAUAACUCUAAAAAUAUGUGAGUUAUGUGCACAACUUUGUUAGUGAUGUAAAAUAUCCCCUAAAAAAAAGUGAUGUAAAAUAUGAAUAUGGUGCUAAAAAUAUAUGAGUCAUACAAAACAAAUUAUCUAUGUAUAUUAUAAAGCAGAGGACAAAGCACCACAAUUAGUCAAGUGACAAACUAUUGAGAGGCAACAUGUCAAAUUUUAGGACAAAGUUUAAUGUUAUUCUAAUAAAAAAUUUGAAUUAAAGGAUAUUAAAUAUUUGAAUUUGAAAAUGUAUUAUCCGUUUUUAAAAAAAACCAUUAGCUUAGAAAUAGAAACUUAUGGUUGAAGAGUCCUAAAUAAACUCUGUGUAUUUCAUAAAUUUCUUCCUUUUAUAUACUAUAAAAUAUAUUUGAAUAUAUUUAAUUUAAUAAUAAAAAUAGUAAAUAGUAAUAUGUGUAAUGAUUCUUACUAAAACAAAAAUGUGUAUUAAUAGUAAUAGUGUGGUGAUAAUAAUAAUAAUAAUAAUAAUAAUAAUAAUAAUAAUAAUAAUAAUAAUAAUAAUAAUAAAAAUUUAGAAAAAGUAGUAACAGUAGUACGAAGUAGUACUGUUAUAAUAAUAAUAAUAAAAAAUAAUAAUAAUAAUAAUAAUAAUAGCAAUAGUAGUAGUAUUAAUAGUAGUAGUAGCAAUAGUUAAUAAAAAAAUACUAACAUGGAUUGUGGUGCAGUGGAUGGGGCUGCUCAACCCUUAACCAGAGGUUGGGGGUUCGAUCUUGGGUACGGAGAAAACUCUGUUAGGGUGCGCUUCCCCCCGAAUGGGGGCCAUACGCGGUGCGAAUUUGGAUUAGUCGGGCUCCAAUGCGAGUACUGAACACAGGAUAGGAAACCAAAAAAAGGUAGUUAAUAAUAACAGUAAUAAUAAUAAUACUUUCAUUCUUAAAUAAAUUAUUUUAGCCUUUUCAUUUUGUCCGUAUAUAAAUGGUAUUUUGAAUUUAUAUGAAGAUAAAUGGCACAAAUUAUGUUGGAGAUAUUAUUUUGAAUUAUAACACAAAUAUUAAAUUGAUAAAUAAAAAGUUAAGUUUAAAAUUUGAAUUCAAAAUGAGACAUAUAAAUGUUUGAAUUAAAGAAAAGAUAAAGAUCAUAUCCAAAACUAAAAUUGAAAAUACAAAGCAAAUUUUAUUUAGCUAUUUAGUAAGUUUUUAAACUUUUCAAUUCAAACUAAAAAGAUAUAAAAACUAUUUAAAAAAAGUCUUUUGAAAUAUAAAGAGAUAACUUUAUUAAUUUAUUAGAUCUAGAGAUAAUAACUCUCUAAAUAAGAAACAAGAAUAUGUAGUAUAGUUUAUUUGGAACUCUUUCACAGCCCUCUUAAGCUUAUCCUACUAGAUAUUAUAAUCUCAUGCUAUUUCUUAUUUUAGAAUUUUGAAAUUACAACUUUUUUUUAUCCAAAUCAAUAUGUCAACUAGCAUAUAAAUGGAGAUAUAUUUCAUUAUCUCUCUCUUUUUACUAUUAACAAAUAGCUUCUUCUCCUUUUUUAUUUUAUUUUAUAGUUCAAUUUAUUUAUUUAUUUUAAUGUCCAUAUAUUUUUUUAUGUGUAAUUUUGAGGUUUAAAAAUAUCGUAUUGAUUAGUUUAAUGAAAUCAAAUAUUUAUCUUCUUAAUUGUUAUUGUGUUGAUUAAUUUUCUUGCAGAUAUACAAACGGCUUGACAUGAAGUACAUUAGAAAAAUAAUAUUAAUAUGUGAUAGCAACAGGUGAAUAACCUUUUUUAUAUGCUUCAAAUUAUUAUUUUCAGUAAUUAAAGUAGCAGUAUAUUAUAUGCAGAAAAGUAAGAGAAAUUAUGCAAAUAUAUUUUCAUUAAGCCAUUGCAUAAAAAAUUAUUAAUUAUUAUUAUAUAAAUUUGAUUAUGUUGUUCAAGAAAGCAGCAUGUUCAAUUGGUCAAAUUGCAGAAUUUGAAGAUUUUAAAUGGAGGUACGAUAUUAGUUCGAAAAUAUUCAUGAAGACAAGAUAUUCAAUGAAAUGUUGCAAUUGAAAUUACUUAACAAGAUUUGUUAUGUGAAAUCUGAUGAAAUUUAGUGAAUUCAAAAAAAGUGAGGAACAUGUCAUGUAUUUGAAAUAUAUCAUGAAAAGUUAUGUUAAAAGUUCAAUACUUUUAUUGUUGUUGUUAUAUUAUUGUUGUUUACAAUUAGCAUUAUAUUUAUCUAUUGUUAUAGAUGUAACUAAAACAAUUUGAAGUUUCUAUAUAUGAUGUAUACAAAUACCUCAUAAAUGUUAAAUAAAUAGUUGGACCUUUUCUUUUAAAAUAAUAUGAUUUAACACGUUUGAAGUAUUAUUAAGAAACAACACAAAUAAGUAAAGAUAUAAUUAUGAGUAUUGUGAUGGGGGAGGAUGAGCAUAGAGAAUUGUAGUGAUCGAAACAGGGUGGAAUGAGUAGGGUGCGGGUGGGGCUAGGCUAGGUAGUGAGGGGGUAGGCAGAGUGGUAAAUGUAGGUAGCAUUUGGGGUAGAGAAGAAAAAAAAUCUAAUAAAAAGUAAAAAUAUUAAUUUAUUUUAUUUUAUUUUUGGAGGGGGGGGGGUUACUAUAGGGGAUGGGAGUAAGAAAUUCUUUUAUAAAGAUUCUCAAAAAUAACAAUAAAAACUUUUGAGAAAUGCGAGGGGGGCAGGUGUUAGGUAGGAAGUCGGGGCGGAUGAUAAGGAUUAACGGUGGUAGUGUAAAGAAAAAAGUUCUUAUAAAAAUAAAAUAAAAUUUAUCUUUUUGUUUGGGGGAAGGAGGGGGGUGAGAAAAAAAUUAAAAAAUUAAAAGUCCAAUAAAAUUUUGGAGUGGGUGGUGGGAUAUAGGCGAGGGAUGAAUGUGAGAUUUGGCGGGAUAGGUGAUUUUGAGAGUAACAUAAAAAAUUUUAAUUGAAUUAGUGUAGAAGAUAUAAUAAUAAGUAUAAAUAAAAUGGUUAAAAGAUAUUAAUGAUGAAAUAAAACAAGAAACAAAAUCACAAUAAUAGAACAAAGUCUGAAUUUGAAGUUGUGAAAUAAAAAUUUAGAAUUAGAAGUUUUGUAAUUGACAAAGUUAAGUACUUUUAGUGUUUAAAAUAAAAUAAAAUUUUGAUUUUAGUUUCUGCAGAAACAUGUGGAUGAUGACUUGUAAUGUGUUGUGCUCCAGAUAAGUGGGUGUUGCGAUACUUAACAAUUUCAAAUCUAUUACAACUUUUAAGCUUUGUAGCUCGCAGCCACCAAUCACAAUUUUAAUCUACGCAUCUAGCAUAAUACAAUUUGUACAAUUCUUCACUGAUUUGAAUCUUUGAUCUUUCUUCACGGAAGCAAGCUUCAACAAUUUAAUUAAUUCUCGCUUGUCCUUGAAAAUUUUACCUUUAUAGAAUCCUGUGCUGUCAUCAUCUAUGUGGCUGCUUUGCGUUGGUAUAGAAUGAUGUGCAAUUUCUUCAUUUAUCGAAAUAUCCAUAAUAAUAUGAUGAUCUUCAUUAUUUGGAACUGAAUUUGUUGUUUGUAUCAUCAUUUCAGCCACAUGUAUUAUUAAAAUGGGCCUACUUUGAUCAUCCAAAAAAAUCGCAAAUCACGAUCGUCUCUUAUCUCAGAAGGAGCUUUUUUUUUUCACAAAGCCAAGCAUGUAACUAAUGAAGAGAUCAUCUUUAUCACAAGUUAACGCAAACCUAAAAAUAAUGAUCUCAACCAACUCCUCAUACGUAAUAUUCACACGUAUCUUUAUAGGUACAGUCUCUCGGCCCUUCGAACGCCAAGUAUAACGAGUAGGAUUUUCUAUCCAUUCACCAUGUAAAUCAAUUCCUAUUUUUAUUUGAUCUUCCAUAGAUGGGCACAGUACCUGAAGACAUCAUUGUUGACACACAAUUUUGACCUCCCGAUAUCACUUUUAGGCUGUUAUUUAUCAAAAUUAUUUAACCUUAAUUAUUAAUAUUUAUACAUAUUAUUUCCAUAUUUAAUACAUACUAACAUGUCCCAUCUGUAACUUAUAAAAAUACAUAAAUUAUUUUAUUAUCUUUUUAUAUAUAAUUUUUAAAUCAAAUAUGAUAUUUUACGUAAUUUCAUUAAUUAAAUUAUUUUUCACGUAAUUGUACACUCACAGUGUUACAAAUACAUUGUCUGAUUUUUCAUUAUUUAAUGUUAUUUAUUGAUAUUAUUAUUUUUAUUUACUAACAUUGAUAUCGUAUGUAUUAUAAUUCCUACUAAAUUUAAAUAACAGCCUAAUUUUAAAAACCAAUUUGUCCAAUUUAUUCAACUUAUAGCCUAAUCUUUACAAAUUGAGUCAAUUUUGGCAACUUCAAGUUAAAUUUAGUCACAAGUAUUUCAUUUUUAACCAACUCAAGUUAUUAAUUCUAUUUUAAUCCCAACCGUUGAUCGAAAUUGAUCCAACGGCUGAGAUCUCUCAACCUUUUCUUUCCGUUUUAAUAUCCCAAAACCCUAAUUUCUUUCCGUUUGCUUUUAAUUAUCUUAUCGCUUAGCUAAAUAGUAAAUUAAUAAUAAAAAAAGAGACUUUUAUUUGAUUACAUAGAAUCCCAUAUAAAGUAUGAAUUCGGCCGGGAACUACUUUUGUGGACCUCGAAAGGUGCCUAACACCUUUCUUUUGAGGUAAUUUGAACCCUUACCCGAACUCUGGUGAACUAAGACUAAAUAACAAAAAAUAGGUUCGUAGUAUCCUAGACCGGUGCCCUAACGCACCUUAAUACGUUAGGUGGCGACUCUCAUACCCUUCCUUAAAGCAUCUCAAAAAGAGUUUGUCAAGUCGAAUCCCACCUUCUGCGAGGAAAACGGGGAGCGACAGAAUGGCGACUCUACUGGAAAUUAUUAGGUUCUGACCAUUACGAAUUUGUGCUUAUGUGGGAUUCUCUUUAUUUGUUUUUAUGCUUGCUUUUGACAUGGUUCAUUCUAUAUAUAUUUAAUGUUUAUUCACAUCAUUAUUUAUUUGUCUCUUCUCCUUCUCUAUUUUUAUGUGUUAUUCAUGUUUCUUCAUGACUACUUUUGCUUUUAUUGAUGAUCAAUUUAUGCAUGAUAAUCCCUUCUCCUUCCCUUUGUUAUGUGUCAUUUACGUUCCUCUAUGCCUACUUCUUCUUUUAUUGAUUAUAUAUUUUUAUUUUUGCUAAAGCAUACUAUUAUGUGUUCCUAUGUGCUACCUGUUAUUGUUUUAUAUAACUGGCAUAGCGCUUAUACUUUCCUCCUUUUGGAACCUCUUUUGUUUUCUCUUACAAACGGUUACGUGAAUACACAGACGUUCAUUCUUAAAAGACCCUUCGGGAAAUGUCUUGUUGAUCAUUCGAUCAGUGGUGCGUUGACAGCCACAAGCUUUUCCACUCUCAAGUUUUCCACUUGAGGGAACCAUGUCAAAAACCUACGCUUGUCCUUUAGGUUUUGGCUACAUAUUCCUUUUACUAAGGAAUAUGCGUCCCAUUCAACGUAGGGUGCCUUGGCUUCCUUAACGCAUUGAAUGUUAGUCUCAUUCAAAGUCCAAAGAGGUUCACGACCUCAAGAAGACUUACACUUAUUUGCUAUGUGUUGCAUUUCUAUGUAUGGAUUGACAUCUUGCCUAUCUUGUUGUUUCGUUCUUGCCUUAGUCACUCCUUACAUUUAGUGUUCCUCACUUUAGAGCUCGUUACUCUUAAAAUUCUUGUCAUGUUAGGACCCUACAAUACACUCUUAGGGCCUAUUCAAUAUCCUCCAAUUCAUCCCCACCCGCUAUUCAGCUUCCACAACUCUUAAAUUUUUGAAUUACGUCUGACCUGAUUCUUGUUCCAACAAGAUACAAUCCUUUGUAAGGAUGCGGUCUUCCUUUUCCCUUUCUUUUACAAAACGUCCUAAUAUUUGAAAAUAUGAAACAAUCGUUACAUUCCAACAAUUCUUCUAUCAAAUCAUAUUCUCCAUAUCUUUCACCUUUCCAUAAUGUCAUAAGGGUACAACUUAGAAGUUUUUUAUUCAAAUGACUUUUCACAAUAUUUUAAAAUCAAACAUUUCAAAGUAAAUACUUCAAAGUUCUCAAAACUUUGUCAAUCUUCAAUUCUCCCAUUUGUUCAAAACAAUUUCUUUAAACAUUUUUAUGCACAUCUCUGCAAUAUCUUAUCAUUAUUCACUUAUUUACUCAAUCAGCUUCAAGUACGAAUUUAGUAUCGAAGUCUUUGUUAGAAUCUAUUAGAAUCUAUCUUCCAUCUUGUGCUAUCAAUUCAUUUUUAAAGCUUAAGUUCUAGCCCACAUUCGUCCUAAAGUCCUCCUGGACAAAAUGACUCAUAUUGACAUACUAUCUCUUUUCGCAUUGAGUACGCUGAUAUUUAUUUUAGUUUACUAUUUAUUAUUUAAAGGUUGUCUAGCGUUUGAACAUCGACUCGAUUGAAAAUCUGCAAUUUGACAAAUAUGCUCAACAUUCGAAAAGUCUCUAGCCCUCCUUCUCAUCGCUCAAGACAAAACGUUGCGCCUCCUAAUCCUCGCCCUACCCUCACGAACUACGUUUGACCUGACUUCCAUUUGGAUACGUAGGCAGCCCACUUUGGGUUCAGUCUUUAUCUAAUAAAACAUUUGCUUUCCCCUCUCUUUCAAAUUUUUACACAUUCAAAUUGUCAAGAUAAUUAACCCAACUCUUGAGCAUAUAAAGGCAGAUUACAAUUGAGGUUACGACAUUAAAAUAUAGGACAACCAUUUCUCUUGAACUAAUAUUUUCUUUGAGUGGUGCAGGAAUAUAAGGCUCCAACUGGGGCAUGAAACCUCAAAAAUUUCACGAUUAAACAAUAUAUCAAUUCACAAUGACGUGCAAAAGGUGCCUUUCAUUCUAAACUAGGCCAGAAAUUUUUUAGAAUUCCUCAAAAAUUUCACAAGUAAACAAUAUAUUCAUUCACAAAUGACGUGCCAAAGGUGCUUUACAUUCUAAAUUGGGGAAUUUUUUUUUGAGAAUUUCUCAAAAAUUUCAUCACGAUGGAGUACAAAUCCCAACGGUUCAUGGAGUAGAAAACAACAACCAAGGAGUCGACUCGAGCAUGGUACAAAUUCACAUUUCUUUUGACUGAUGACUUUUCUUUGAGUACAGGAACAAGUAACAGGUACAGAUGACAAUAAUCACUCCAUCACAAGAGACCCAACAAUAUAAGGUGACAGGAAUUACUUCAUCACGAAGGAACACGAUAGACAAUCCAACAUCAUGACGAGAAGCCACGCAGUUAAUCCGACAACAAGACAUAUACGAUUUUCUAUCUUCCAUUAUCUUUACUAUUACGUUUGUUUACUACAAUAUUCAAUCCUCUAUGCAUACACAUAUAUUUACUAAUUAUUUUUGUCGAGUCAAGCUACAAGUGGCAGGUACGGGCCACGAUUUCACGAUGGAGAAGCUCAAAUGCUGAUCCGUCAAUGGAGAAGCUCAAAUGUUGAUCCGAUGAUGGAGAAGCCCAAUGCUGAUCCGACGAUGGAGAUGCUCAAAUGCCGAUCUGACGAUGGGAAAGCUCAAUGCUAAUCCAACGAUAGAGAAGCCCCAAUGCUGAUCCGACAAUGGAGAAGCUCUAAUGCUGAUCCGAAGAUGGAGAAGCCCAAAUGCUGAUCUGACGAUAAAGAAGCUCCAAUGCUGAUCUGACGAUGGGGAAGCCCAAAUGCUGAACCAAUGAUGGAGAAGCUCCAAUGUUGAUCUGACGAUGGAGAAGCCCCAAUGCUGAUCCGACAAUGAAGAAGCUCCAAUGCUGAUCCGACGUUGGAGAAACCCAAAUGUUGAUCUGACGAUGGAGAAGCUCCAACGCUGAUCCAACGAUGGGGAAGACCAAAUGCUCAACCGACGAUGGAGAAGCUCAAAUGCCGAUCCGAUGAUGGAAAAUUCCAAUGCUGAUCCCACGAUGGAGAAACUCAAAUGUUGAUCCCACGAUUUCAUAAUAUAUGGAGAAAACUCAAAAGCUGAUCCCACGAUGAGAAACCAAAUAGCUGAUCCAAUAUCGAGAGAUUUAACAGCCGAUCCAAUGUCAUAUCGAGAAGCCAAACAGCUGAUUCAACAUCAAGAGGUUCAACAGCCGAUCCAACGUCAUAUUGAGAGGCCAAAUAGCUGAUCCAGCGCCACGAUCCAAUGUCAUCCAACAGUACAACAGAUAUGUUUUCUUUACUUCUUACAUUCACUUUAUGUUUUUAAAUGAUUAUCAUUUACAUGACUUAACCUUGGUUAUCAAGUAUACCAUGAAGUAUGCAGGUAACAGAUAAAAAAUAACAAACAGAGACAAUUUUCAUUUCUGUUUUCGAAAUAUUACUCCAUCUGUUCAUCCACCACAUGAACUCAUCCAUCACUUCACCUACCUCAAAGUUUUCAAAUUACUCCAAAUCCUAUUCAUUACCAUCUCACCGAUCCAUGAUACCAUUGUCAACGCCCCAACCUUUAUCAUUAACAUUUUUUAGGAAUAUUAUUCAUUCCUAAAUCUAGAACUACAAAUGGCCUGAUUCUCGUAAAAACAGAGAUAUGUAGGCGACUUAAAGCCAAAGUCUCGGCCACACUAUUUUUAACACUUUCCGUGCUUUCUUUCUAGCAAACUAUCAUCUCGGUCGGACAAAAUUGGCCACUACGUCAACUUUCGUUACUUGAUAAUUCUUUCAUCAUUCUCAAACAACGAAGGGGCAGCUGUUGACACCCAAUUUUGACCUCCUGAUAUCACUUUUAGGUCGUUAUUUAUCAAAAUUAUUUAACCUUAAUUAUUAAUAUUUUUUACAUAUUAUUUCCAUUUUUAAUACAAACUAACGUGUCUCAUCUGUAACUUAGAAAAAUGCAUAAAUUAUUUUAUUAUCUUUUUAUAUAUAAUUUUUAAAUCAAAUACGAUAUUUUACUUAAUUUCAUUAAUUAAAUUAUUUUUCACGUAACUGUGCACUAACAGUGUUACAAAUACAUUGUCUGAUUUUUCAUUAUUUAAUGUUAUUUAUUGAUAUUAUUAUUUUUUAACAUUGUUAUCGUAUGCAUUAUUAUUCCUACUAAAUUUAAAUAACAGCCUAAUUUUAAAAACCAAUUUGUCCAAUUUAUUCAUCUUAUAGCCUAAUCUUUACAAAUCAUGUCAAUUUGGCUAUUUCAUGUCAAAUUUAGCCACAGUUGUUUCAUUUUUAACCAACUCAAGUUAUUAAUUCUAUUUUAAUCCCAACCGUUGAUUGAAAUUGAUCCAACGGCUGAGAUCUCUCAACCUUUUCUUUCCGUUUUAAUAUCCCAAAACCCUAAUUUCCUAGAAAUAUUUUUUCAUCCGCCUCCAAAACCCCUCUCUCCUCUUUCUCUCUACCUCUCUUCUCUCCCUCUAAUCCCCCUCUCCUCCUCCUUCUCCCCAUCGUCCCUCUCCUCCGGCGAACCAAGCGUCGUCACAAAGCAGCAGCAACAGCCACCACGAGCCGCCUUCGUCCUCUGAUCAACGUACCACCGCCGCACCAGCCAUGGCACCUCCAUCAACGAAGGCCACAACAACGCCGUCAUCUCCGUACUCCUAGUAGCCACGCCACCACCAACAGCAGCGAUUCAACCCCAGCGCUGCCUUUCCUCCGUCACCAGCAGCCAUGGCGCCACGCCAGUCGCCCAAAGCAGCACCAACAAUAACGGACCUCCCCUCCGUCCAAUCUAUCCGUCUCCUCACUGUCGUCGCUGCUUCACUCUUCCCUCCCUGGUCGACAAAAGACCCCAUUGUCACUGUCUAGUUGUCAUAACCAGCAAGGCUUUCGACAAACAUAUACUAUUUCUAUCUGGUUUGAUUUCUCAAACUCUUAAUUACAUGGUUGUUUGCUUUGGUUAACAUGCAUGAUUGUUUGCUAUGGUUGCAAAUCGAAGCCCUGCAGCUUUAUAAAUUACGAUGCUGUGACUCUGAAUUUUGUUCCUAUUUGUUAAUUUUCGGGCUUAUGUUCGUCUCCAGACUGACAUACCUAUUCAAAGCCCCAAGUUUUAUUAUUUUAAAUUCGUAAUUUGAAGUGUGAUACCUCUAACUCUGAUAUCCUUCACUUACGGGUAAAAGUUGUUACUGUUUGGUCUAAAAUGUGCUUGGGUGAUCUGUUUAAAAUUUGAAUUUGCAGCCAAGUAUUACGACAGCUGAUUAUAGUAGGCUCUGGUUUAUUUACAAUCAAGUGGAAUUUUUUAUUGAUAUAUGAUUGGGAUGAAAUUGUGUGAUAGCUCUUGUCCUUGCUUAUUUUAGGUAAACUGGGUAUGUCUGUGAUUUUCCUAAUCUUUAUUCUUGUAUGGUAUGGAAAGUUUUUUUUAACAAACUGGACUGAUUUAUGGUAAUUACCAAUGUUGAUAUGUUUUCUACCAUUAGUACUUAUUCCCUCCUAAAUUAGUGCUUCCUUGUACUCAUCUCUCGUCUAUUUACGGUAAACCUGCUUACAAUUGAUUCUCCUUACUUAACUAAGGAAAAUAAUAUUAUGGAUUGAUUAUCAGCUUAUUACCCUCUCCUUAAUUGAUUCUGAUUUAGUGAAAAAAUAUUUUUCUCUCCCUUUACCCUCUAAUCCCUUUUACUAUAUAAACUCAUUCCUUUUUUUUCAUUAAGGAAUAAGUUCACAAGCUCUCACUUCUCAAGUUCACUAGUUCACAGGCUCUUAAGCUCUUAAACUCUUAAGCUUUUGACAUUACAAUUACUACUACUCUCUAAGGCAAUUAAAUAUUUUAACGUGUUUCUCUUUGGAGGCUACUGUUAAUAUCUUGCAUACUUCAACUAUUACGUGUGCUUGGAUUUUGGCUCCUAUUGUUCUUAUUCUCUCUGUACUGCUGUUCACUGGUGAGUUCUUGAACGAUGUAAUUUUUCAUUCUCUAUGUGUGUUGAUUGCAUCGUGUUCUAAAAACCUUCAGAAAGCAUGUUUUUAGGAAUAUUUUGAUAUUUGCUACAAUGUGUUCCUGUCUGCUUGCCAUUAUAAUAUGUUUCGCAGGUUAAACAGACACACACAAGUUCCAAAGAGUCUCCGGAAUAUUUAAACUAUGUAAAUUUUAACUAGUUGUUUUUGCUUUAUUUCUAUUUGGUCUGUAAUAUUAUUGUAAACAUUCCUAUCAUUGUAAUAAUAUAAUUCUGGGGACUGCUUUGGGGGCGGAAAUUUACGUGCUCUGUGCACAAACUAGGAUUAUGUGCAAUACGUGCUACGUGGAUCAUCUAGGAUUCAUUAACAUAUGCAAUGCUGAAUUUGUUUCCAACGAAUUUGAGUCGAUCCCGAUAUAUUAACAUAAUUUUUGCAUUAGGUGUGAACGAUUUAAUAUGCCUAUCUUGUUAAAACGAAUAUAAGCAUAUUAACCUGACAUUAUGUAUUAUAGCAUAACGGGCACACUAAUUCGACAUAAACAUAUCAAUGUAUCUUCUGGUAUGUAAUAUAGUGAAUCUUAAGCAUAUUGACAUGUUGAGGUAAUUAUCGUUGAGCAUGUUAACUUAUUGUAAGCAUGUUAAAUUAAGUGAAAAUGGUUAAUACAUUCACUUUUUUCGCUUAUCAUUAUUUUAGGCUACUGCAAUUUUCAGCAUGUUUAUAUGGUAUUUCGGCACAUUAAGAUAAAUCUCAGCAUGUUUAAAUAAAUUUCAGCACGUUUAAAACAUGUUUUUGUGUACCUAUACAAAUUUAGCAUGUUAUUAAUAUUAGAACAUUAAAAUUCUGUGCAUCUAAUAAAUUUCAGCAUGUCAUAACUACUUUUAGCAUGUUAAAGUUUUUGUAUGUUGGCAUAUCUCUAUCACGUUAAAAUAUAUUAGCAUGUCAAAAUAUUUGUUUUUAGCCAUCUUUAGUAUGUUGGUAAAUGUUUAACGUCACUAUGAAAUUCCAGCAGUAAUACAAUUGGUGUUAUAUAAAAAUACAUACUUUUAAGCACUUUUCGGUUCGUUUAAACACUAGAGUAGGUAUAUUAUGGCAUCCUUAACAUGUUAGUGUUUUUUAAUAUUCUUGUUAAUUUCUCUUAUUCUCAUUAGUUUGCAACACUUAAUUCACAAAAUAUUUCUCGACACAUUUGUGACACCCUCAUGAACACGCAUUACAUUGUUGCAUGCACGAAUCACAGUUGUCUUUUAUCAUCACUUGAUUGAACCUUCAGACAUCAUGCCUAUAGGUUAAUGACAUUAUAUAAUUGUCUGUCUUCGCAUGCUAUCACGUUAAUAAACGUUAAUUAAUCAAGAGGCUAACUUGGAAUUAUUACGUGCUACUUGUUGUCCAAUAUAUUCGCGUUUUGAGUCCUAGGCAACAUAGCUUUCUUUUAGUCUAGAACACAAAUCCAAAAUAGUAAAGUCCAAUGCCUCUUGGACAAUAGUUGGGACGAUAAGUAUUACUAAAAACAUUAGUUUUGUCCUUGUCAUAGAACGCUCUUAGAUUUGACAUCCAGCCUAGGUGGGGUGAGAUGGGUUGCCCUUUUCGAAAAUGAUGAUCCCAACAAAUAUUAAUGGCGAGUCUAAUGACAUUAUUACUCGUCUAAGAGUUCGGCCUUUGGGUCGGAUGGUGAUUAACAAGUUGAGUUUCUGAUCCGAAUAAAAUCAAAACAUCUCUUUGUUUAACUCGGACGAUUUCUUUUAGUCUUUUUAUUUAUUUUACAUGUUUAUCUGGGUAGCUAGUUUAUUAUAAAGCAGUCCCCUUUUUAUUAUAAAUUAUGUCGUUUCUUUCUCCUCUCUUAUCUUAUUUCUAUGUUUUUUAUUUAUUUUAUCACCUAGAUAAUCGAUAAUUAGCAUUAACAAAUGACAUGUGUUUGCUUUUAAUUAUCUUAUCGCUUAGCUAAAUAGUAAAUUAAUAAUAAAAGAAGAGAUCUUUAUUUGAUCACAUAAAAUCCCCAUGUAAAGUAUGAAUUCGGCCAGAAACCACCUUUGUGGACCUCAAAAGGUGUCGAACACCUUCCUUUUGAGGUAAUUUAAAC